This 73-nucleotide transfer RNA is filed under the name Catenaria anguillulae PL171. It matches the Rfam family "tRNA". Rfam says of the family: Transfer RNA (tRNA) molecules are approximately 80 nucleotides in length. Their secondary structure includes four short double-helical elements and three loops (D, anti-codon, and T loops). The record is from Rfam by way of RNAcentral. Lineage: Eukaryota; Fungi; Blastocladiomycota; Blastocladiomycetes; Blastocladiales; Catenariaceae.
GGGACUGUGGCGAAGUGGUAUCGCGUUCGCUUUGGGUGCGAAAGAUCGUCGGUUUCGAUCCCGGCCUGUCCCC